RNAcentral lists this non-coding RNA (148 nucleotides) under Nomascus leucogenys (northern white-cheeked gibbon). Lineage: Eukaryota; Metazoa; Chordata; Mammalia; Primates; Hylobatidae. The record is from Rfam by way of RNAcentral.
GCCGGGUGUGGUGGUGCGUGCCUGUAAUCCCAGCUACUCAGGAGGCUGAGGCAGGAGAAUCACUUGAACUCGGGAGGCAGGGGUUGCAGUGAGCCGAGAUCAUGCCACUGCACUCUGGCCUGGGUGACAGAGUGAGACUCUGUCUCAG